UACGAAGGGGGCUAGCGUUGCUCGGAAUGACUGGGCGUAAAGGGCGCGUAGGCGGAUGGCACAGUCAGAUGUGAAAUUCCCGGGCUUAACCUGGGGGCUGCAUUUGAUACGUGUGAUCUAGAGUGAGGAAGAGGGUCGUGGAAUUCCCAGUGUAGAGGUGAAAUUCGUAGAUAUUGGGAAGAACACCAGUGGCGAAGGCGGUUGCCUGGAGCUUUGCUGACGCUGAGGCGCGAAAGCGUGGGGGAGCGAUCCGG
RNAcentral lists this ribosomal RNA (254 nucleotides) under uncultured bacterium. RNAcentral's name for it is "partial 16S ribosomal RNA". It matches the Rfam family "Bacterial small subunit ribosomal RNA", at positions 524 to 776 of the family's 1533-position model. The record is from RNAcentral.